Molecule: ribosomal RNA, 649 nt
Filed under: Ogataea arabinofermentans
Lineage: Eukaryota; Fungi; Ascomycota; Pichiomycetes; Pichiales; Pichiaceae
Description: SSU rRNA
Rfam family: Eukaryotic small subunit ribosomal RNA
Source: RNAcentral
AAAUGCAUUUGCCAGGGACGUUUUCAUUAAUCCAGAACGAAAGUUAGGGGAUCGAAGAUGAUCAGAUACCGUCGUAGUCUUAACCAUAAACUAUGCCGACUAGGGAUCGGGUGGUGUUCUUUUUUGACCCACUCGGCACCUUACGAGAAAUCAAAGUUUUUGGGUUCUGGGGGGAGUAUGGUCGCAAGGCUGAAACUUAAAGGAAUUGACGGAAGGGCACCACCAGGAGUGGAGCCUGCGGCUUAAUUUGACUCAACACGGGGAAACUCCCCAGGUCCAGACACAAUAAGGAUUGACAGAUUGAUAGCUCUUUCUUGAUUUUGUGGGUGGUGGUGCAUGGCCGUUCUUAGUUGGUGGAGUGAUUUGUCUGCUUAAUUGCGAUAACGAACGAGACCUUAACCUACUAAAUAGUACCUAUUAGCGUUUGCUGAUUUGGGACUUCUUAGAGGGACUAUCGGUUUCAGCCGAUGGAAGUUUGAGGCAAUAACAGGUCUGUGAUGCCCUUAGACGUUCUGGGCCGCACGCGCGCUACACUGACGGAGCCAACGAGUAUAUCCUUUGCCCAGAGGUACGGGUAACCUUGUGAAACUCCGUCGGCCUGGGGAUAGAGCAUUGCCAUUUAUUGCUCCUUCACAAGGCAAAUCCUUAG